Onychostoma macrolepis is the source of this 579-nucleotide long non-coding RNA. RefSeq lists it as uncharacterized. The record is from RefSeq and is a predicted model, not a curated record. NCBI's taxonomy places the organism in Eukaryota, Metazoa, Chordata, Actinopteri, Cypriniformes, Cyprinidae. The transcript is spliced from 3 exons.
CAGCGCUGCCUGGCUGCAUGUUUGAGCUGCAUCUGGGGAAGCUGCGGUGACAUUGAUGGAGAGCGUUUGCUUUUGUAGCCAAUCUGAUGACUUGCAUUGCUCUUCUUAGCUGUAGCCAGUGGUUCAUAUCUGGCUCUGAGGGCAACGAUGAAACACUUUCAGUCAUGGCCUGCUGGGUUUUCUACAGCAGUUCCAAACAUUCCUGUCAAUACAGUAUUUCAUACUGGAUGAGCAAACUGCUAUGAAAUCAACAACAACAAAAAAACAACUGACCAACUUGCAACACCUCAGAUGUCUGGCAGACUUAUCGUGGAUCCUGUGUGUUCAUGCUGAAGGUCUCUUUGAAGCACAGCGCUCUCUUGCCUUUGAUCCUUCCCUGAUGUUUGCAUCCCCCAUUCCUCCACGCAAGAAAAACUACGGUGAAGAAGAAUGUGGUUAAAUUACACUCUCCUUAAAGUGCAAAUCAAUGCUAAUGGAGAGGAAUCAGACCGCCUACAUGUAUCUAUUCUCAUUAGUCUUCCAGUUCUUUGGACACGACACACCAGACAAAAACCAAACUACUUUGCUGAAGUGUGCAAG